Long non-coding RNA from Bos taurus (domestic cattle), 1889 nucleotides. The record is from Ensembl. Lineage: Eukaryota; Metazoa; Chordata; Mammalia; Artiodactyla; Bovidae.
GCUUCUGGAGACAAGAAUCAACUGAUUAGCGAGGGCCGCUUGCUCCAGAAGACGUAUCCUCCUGAAAUUUCCUCAGAAACACAAAGACGGGCAUCUCCAUGGAGGAAACAGCUCGCAGUGGAAGAGCAAGCAAUGAGGUAGCAGCCAUUUCAAGAUGACAGCAGCGCCUGGGUAACUUGAGGCCAGGCAGUGAAGUGGGCUCCAUGUUCUGGGGGCAACUGGUGUUUCUCUGUUGGGCAAAUGGGGACCAUCAGGACGUCAUCUCAGGCCGUCUGAGUGGAGCAGGAGGGGCAGCGCCAGCUAACAGCCACGCCCUUUCUCCGCCCUGACGCAACUGCACUGUCUUCUCAGCCAGGGACUCAGCACAGCCCUGGCAACAAAUGGAGGGUGGAGUGUGCUCUGGACAUACCCAGAGCGGACUGAUCUCUCCUCUGCUGGAGAGAGAAGAGCGACAACAAAACCCAGAAAAACAAAAACACAAACCAGGCCUUUGUGGAACUGGAGGGCUCUUUUUAUGGCUGUAGAAGGAAAAGAAAAGCAUCCUGCUGAACUUUGCUGGUGGUCCAGUGGUUACGACUCCAUGCUGCCAUUGCAGGGGGCAUCGGUUCGAUCCCUGGUCUGGCAACUAAGAGUCCAUGUGCUGGGUGGUGUGGCCAAAAGAUCUUUUAAAAAGAAGAAGGAAAGGAUCCUGCCAAGCCCAACUCCUCUCCCCAAAGUUUAGCUGGAGUGGAUUGCCAUUUCCUCCUCCAGGGGAUCUUCCUGACCCAGGGAACGAAUCCCUGUCUCCUGCAUCUCCUGCGUCUCCUGCAUCUUUACCACUGAGCCACCUGGGAAGCCCCCUUAAACUGCUUCUUGAACUUCUCUGGUACUACCUCCCUUCUCUGCUUACCAGUCCUCACCCUUUUAGCCCCAGCUCCAUCCCCAAUUCCAGCUGCCCUGAAUGCUGCAGAUUCCUGACCCUUGAGGGGUUAGAGAAGUUCUAUAGGUAGAUGGGUUACUUCUUGCCUUUCUCUGACUUUCCCUGGUCUGCUGAGUCAGGCCUGUCCUGUUUCUCUUCUACGUCACACCCGUCAGUACAAACCAACCACCGCAGCUUUGCUGUGUUUUUCUGAUGUUCCAGGAGAGAUCAGAGGUUAACUGUGCAUAGUCAGUCUUUCAUCUUUAACCCAGAGUUAAAGCCAUGGCUUUCCAUAUUUCUUAAAUUCCCUUCAAUUAGCACACAAUUUUAUAGUUGAGAAAAGAGAGAGAAGGAGAAAGGUGAACAUUUUGGAGGUCGAUUUGAAAGCACUUGGAAACUGCAAACAGAUUUGAAAGUGAGGCAGGAGUCCAGAGAGACGGGAGGGCAGAAGUGCCAUUGGCAGAGAUGUGGAGUGAGAUUCCAGAAGCAGGUUCGAUGUGAUGAGUCAGUUAUGUUUCUCUGUUCUUCAGGGAGGGAUCCAAUUUUGAGCUAUGACCACAGGACACAUGGGGAAAGACCAGCUUUCCAGAAUGAGCACUUGGGUGCGCAGUGUCACCAGGGUCUGACCCAGUGCCCCAGCUGCCCUUGACCUUGGAAGUUGGAGCCAUGUGACACCCUAUAACCCUGAACCCAGGCUCAUCCCUUCCCUAUAUUCUGGAACUAUCUAACUCUAGUGGGGGUGGGUGAGACACAGGCAUCCUGGGCUCUGGAGCGUUUAGCAUCCAGGAAGCCCAACCACAAAUUCCCCUCCAACUCAUACCUCAACUCUAAUAACCAUCCAGUGGAAAAGGCUCCAGCUUACAGCCCAGUUCUAGCACCAGCCUACCCAAACAUACUUCCAAAUCCAUAUGAUCUGGGCCUGCUACCAAGGCCUAAAAUGAAAGCCAGAACACACACUCCGUAGCGAGAUCCUUGUUAACCUGCGGUCAGU